CCUACGGGUGGCAGCAGUCGAGAAUCAUUCACAAUGGGGGAAACCCUGAUGGUGCGACGCCGCGUGGGGGAAUGAAGGUCUUCGGAUUGUAAACCCCUGUCAUGUGGGAGCAAAUUAAAAAGAUAGUACCACAUGAGGAAGAGACGGCUAACUCUGUGCCAGCAGCCGCGGUAAUACAGAGGUCUCAAGCGUGGUUCGGAAUCACUGGGCGUAAAGCGUGCGUAGGCUGUUUCGUAAGUCGUGUGUGAAAGGCGCGGGCUCAACCCGCGGACGGCACAUGAUACUGCGAGACUAGAGUAAUGGAGGGGGAACCGGAAUUCUCGGUGUAGCAGUGAAAUGCGUAGAUAGCGAGAGGAACACUCGUGGCGAAGGCGGGUUCCUGGACAUUAACUGACGCUGAGGCACGAAGGCCAGGGGAGCGAAAGGGAUUAGAUACCCGGGUAGUC
This 446-nucleotide ribosomal RNA is filed under the name uncultured bacterium. RNAcentral describes it as "partial 16S ribosomal RNA". It matches the Rfam family "Bacterial small subunit ribosomal RNA", at positions 338 to 795 of the family's 1533-position model. The record is from RNAcentral.